Molecule: unclassified non-coding RNA, 411 nt
Filed under: Hevea brasiliensis (rubber tree)
Lineage: Eukaryota; Viridiplantae; Streptophyta; Magnoliopsida; Malpighiales; Euphorbiaceae
Source: RNAcentral
GUUUCCCCAAAUUCCCAACAAGGGGCCUAAUAACACCAACCCAAAGCUCAUUUCUCAAUUGCCAUUACACGAACAAAAAUUGAAAUAGCAAUGGCGAUGGCUCUUCGUAAGAUUUCUUACGGUUCCUCCAUCAACCUUCUUCGUCCUCUCUCCAAUGGCUCUUCCGUGCAAUACAAGUCGUCUUUGCCUAAUCAAGCAGUUCGAGAUAGGGAGGAUCCGCGAGUUACGUGGAUUAAGCAGUUGAAUGCGCCACUUGAAGAAAUUGAUCCAGAGAUUGCCGACAUUAUUGAGCAUGAGAAAGCUAGGCAAUGGAAGGGUCUUGAGCUUAUCCCUUCAGAGAAUUUUACAUCACUGUCAGUGAUGCAAGCAGUUGGAUCAGUAAUGACCAACAAAUACAGUGAAGGGUAUCCU